This is a long non-coding RNA of Drosophila serrata, 1125 nucleotides long. The record is from RefSeq and is a predicted model, not a curated record. Lineage: Eukaryota; Metazoa; Arthropoda; Insecta; Diptera; Drosophilidae.
UAAAGUUGAUUCUGGAUUUGUUCUCCGACAGUAGUCUUCUAAAUUUAAAAUUACUAUUUAUUAUAACGAAAUAUAUCAUUAAUUAUUAAUUCGAAGUCCAAUAUUUUGAGCAUCCCAAAUUUAUUUGCUGUGCAGAAAAACACAUCAUUGGAUCAGUAAAUGAAGGGAAGAAGAAGUCCCAUAAAGGGUGAAAUUGAAAAAAGCCGAGGCUGAAGCCAAGAAAGCCAGCGAACAAGCCGCAGCCGCAGCAGCUGAAGAUGCCAAAAAGAAGGCAGCAGCAGCAGCAGCAGCUGCUAAACCCAAGUUCUAAAUCCUAAGUUAAAGGAAAAGCCUUUUCCCAAAUUUUGCAGUAGGUUGCAUUUGCUGCCAUCUACAGUGGCAACAGCUGUCAGUGGAAAAACCAGAAAAAUCAACAGCAAAGGCAUUUGUCGUUUAGGAAAAGUCUUCGAUAGCUGACAUUUUCAGCUGCAAUUGCUGUUAGGGGAAAUGACAACGGCAAGAGCAAUAGCUGCCAAGUAAACAGCAAAUGCAGCAUUGGAAAUUACAGGAAAAAUUCAAAUGAUGGGUUGUUAAGACAAAGGACUCUUCAAAGGAUAAAAAUAAGAUAAAACGAAGCAUAAGCAACAGCAGAAGCUGCAACGAAAUUGAAGGUUUCAUAUCAGAAGGAACAGCAUAAAACAUUUAGCUAAUUUUAAGCCACAACAGUAACUGCAAUAAUGGAAUGAAUAUUACAGCAUUGACAGUUGGAUCUACAUCAAAUGCAACAGCAACAUAGCAGCAACAUUGCCAGCAGCAUGAGCAACAUCCCCCGCGGCAGCAGCAGCAGCAGCAGCAGCAGCAGCAGCAGCAGCAGCAGCCGCAGCAAUCGCAGAUGGUCAGCUGCUCAGAAGAAAAGGCCACAUGGAGAGGCAGAUAACCAGUUUUGGUUUAGGCCCAUUCAAAAAUUAAAUAUAUCCACAGCCGGUCGAGCGAGAAGUUUAUCAUUUACGCUGACUGUGACCUCCAAUCCCUACCUUAUGCCGUCGCUUUCCCCUUUAAUCCCUCAAGCGCAAAUUAGUUAAACAAAAUUAAAAGUCAGGCCUGUUAAUUAUUCAUAGUAAAUCAAAAUGCUGAUCAAAUGCCAAA